GACAGAGGUGCCAAGCGUUAGGCGGAAUCACUGGGCUUAAAGCGUGUGUAGGCGGAAUGGUAAGUACCUUGUGAAAUCCCACGGCUCAACCGUGGAACUGCUUGGUAUACUGCUUUUCUUGAGCCACUUAGGGGCAACCGGAACAAACGGUGGAGCGGUGAAAUGCGUCGAUAUCGGGAGGAACAUCAGUGGCGUAGGCGGCCAUCUGGACCAACACUGACACUGAGGCACAAAAGCGUGGGGAGCAAACAGG
Molecule: ribosomal RNA, 253 nt
Filed under: uncultured bacterium
Lineage: Bacteria
Description: partial 16S ribosomal RNA
Rfam family: Bacterial small subunit ribosomal RNA
Source: RNAcentral